Molecule: long non-coding RNA, 5279 nt
Organism: Canis lupus familiaris (dog)
Lineage: Eukaryota; Metazoa; Chordata; Mammalia; Carnivora; Canidae
Exons: 5
Source: RefSeq, a predicted model, not a curated record
CGGACUGGCAACGGCGUUGCUAUGGAGACGGUGCGUCGGGCCCCGCCUCCGAGACGGGAUUGGAGGAGAGCCGGUCAGCUGACCCGGGGGAUUUCCGGAAGCGCGCGGAGCCCCCGCGGUCGCCUGGCAACGCGGACGCCCUCGCGCCUUGCGGAAGCGCGAUUCCCGGGAACCCUCAAAGCUAGAGUCCGAGCCCACAGUGCGACUUGAGGGGCUUUUUCACCUGAGGUAGUAAAUAUCGGAAGUGCUUCGGCCCGAGGAAAGUAGAAAUUCACACCGCCCUAGACUGGAUUCAGUAUUGCGCGAGAGAGCAAGCAGGAAGAGGGGCAGAGGGGGGAGAGGGAAUCUCAAGCUGACUCCUCGAGGAGAGGGGAGCCCCUCCGGGACGCUCCAUCCCAGGACCCUGAGACUGUGACCCGAGCCAAAAUCAAGAGUCGGAUACUCAAUCGACUGAGCCACUCAGACAGAAGCCAGCAUGUGACAGGCACUCAGGAAGUAUCUGUUGAGUGAAUAGAUGCAUUUCAAAACCAGACAGAGGCUGGGGAAAAGAGGACAGUGGAGGAAACUACAAACCCUACCUCAGCCUGGUGAUUAAGAUUCAAACAGCAACAACAACAAAACAAACAAACAAACAAAAAAACAAAAACAAAAACUUGGAGUGUCCUGUAGUGGUUAAGAGCCAGAGCUGCAGGGGCUUGGAUUCCAGUCCUGCUCUGCUACUUAGCUGCUUGGUGACUUUGGGAAAUUUAAUCUUCCUGAGCCUCAAGUUCCUCAUUUGCAGUGCCAUUAUAAAAAUAUGUCAGCCUUUCACCCAAUGAUAUAGAAAGGCCCCUAUAGGAGCAGCAAGUGUUGUGCUAGCUGCUGAAGACACACUGGAGAACCUGAAUGCACAUGUUUCUUCACUCUUCUGGAGUCUACAUCCUGAGGAAGGGAUGCAGACAAUAGCAAUAGAGUCAUCCAAAUGUAUGAUUAUUCACAAACUGUGACAAGUGUGACAGAGUAAAAGCCAGAUAGUGCCAAAGGCGAGGGUGGGGGGGGGAGGUGGGGAAAGCAUCCCCGACAGAAGGACUUCUCAAUUGUAUCAGUCGGCUCAGGCUGCCAUGGUAAAAUACUGUGGCUUAGCGGGCUUAAACAACAGAAAUUUAUUUUCUCACAGUCCUGGAAGGUAGAAAUCCAGGAUCAAGGUGUCACAAGCUUGGUUUCUUCUGGGGCCUCUCUCCUUGGCUUGCAGAUGGCUGCCUUCUCGAGGCCUUUUCUCAGUGCACCUGUUCCCCUGCUGUCCCUCUAGAUAUCCUUAUCUCUUCUUAUAAGGACACCAGUCAGAUCGGAUUAGGGUCCAUCCCAAGGGCCUCAUUAAACGCAAUUACCUCAUGAAAGGCCCUGUCUCCAAAUAUAGUCCUAUUCUGAGGUGCUGGGGGUGAGGGCUUUGGCACAUGAAUUGAGGGCUGGGGAAGCAUGAUCCAUCUCAUAGCAUUAUCAAGACCCAAAGGAUACACAGGAAGGAAAGCCAGGACUUCCAGCAGAGGGAAGAGUAUGUGUAGAAAUUCUGUGGCUGGAAGGAGGGUGCCAAGUUGGAAAACAUGACAGGCCCAUGUGACUUGAGCUCAGAGUGAGGGGUCUGGGUAGGAGACAGAUGGGGGUUUGAGGGAGCAGAAUGUACGGGACCUCAGAGACCACCUAUGUCUGUUGCUGGUGAUGUGAUGAGUUGUCCUAUGGAUGGACUACUCUGACACCGAAUGGUUUGGGGAGGGCUACUCCCAGCUCCAGAGUUGUGUGACUACCUGAUGGAGUGCCUACAGAGUGGCUCGAAGUUAGAGCUCAGUAAAGAAUUAACAAGAGUUAAUGAUGGUGUUUUUAGUAAUGCCCACCUGAUACAGUUGAUGGAAAGAUUAGAUGAAAGACAUCCCAGGAAGGGACUUCAUAAACUGAAAGAAUUCAGUGUCCAGAAGUGGAACCUGGUGUGACCUCCCAGCCACCUUAAACUUGAGUGGUGACCCCACCCUUUGAUGAUUUAAUGCAGCAAAGACUCAUUGCCUCUUCACAUUGGAAGUAACCAGGACGAGCAUUUCAUCCCAAUAGCUAAGGAACAAUGACUGUCCUCUUUGACACCAUGGACAAAGCGUCAUGAUCUGAGGGCAAUAAUGUGCUGGUGAUGGGGAAUGUACAAGGCAACCAACCCAUCCUAAUUUUGAACAGAAUUAACGGGUACUAUCUCUUGUAAGUCCUGGUCUGGCUUUCAGGAGCUACGCAGACCCUGAUCCUUCCUCUUUAUAGCAUCAAGGAUUUGGCAAAACCUGUAAGGUACCCUUCUGAGGCUUCAAGACUUCUGUUCCCAAAUGGAACACACCCCUCCAAAAGUAUUCUUUGCUCAACAGUGUUUUUAUGAUUAUUCUUGUACGUAAAUCUUUGUAUACCUGUCUUCGGAUACAUUUCUAUAAAUGAAGCUGUUGGGACAAAUGGUACAUUCUAUAGCUUUUGCUGUAUAUUUCCAGAUUGCCUUCCAGCAAGGGUGCUUUUGUCUAUCCGCCCACAAGUGGUUUACAAGAGAGCCUAUUUCCCCACACCCUAGCCACCAAAUGUGGGGAAUUUUCAUUCUUUUAAUCACUGCCAAUCUGAUAAAGGAAAAUGAUUAUCUCAUGGUUGCUUCAAUUUGCAUUUCUUUGAUUAUGGGUGAGGUCGGACAUGUUUUCCAACCACAUCCUAUACUUUUGCAAUCGCCUUUUGGAGCUAAAUGCAGGACCUUACAUGUAUUCCAGUUACAUUUUAUCUUGUUGGAUUCCACCAAUCAUUCUUUCCUGUUGAGAUAAUUUGGAUCCUGAUUCUAUAAUUCCAACAUGUUGGCCUUCUCUCCCAGUCUUGUGUUAUUUGCACAGUUGAUAAGCAGUUAUCUUUGGCUUUAUCCAAGUUGUUGAUAGAAUGUUGAAGAGUUUAGAGCCAAGGACAGACCUGUUUGGCAAGCCCCUAGAGAAACCCCUAGGAGGACACCAUCCCAUCUGCUGUUAGGAUUCCACCUCACAGUGCCCAGCAGCCACAGGCGCUGGAUGGGGCCUUCACCUGGGAAACAAGGCCAGGCACAGAUUCCAGUCUUGACAGUAAUUAGCUGGGUGGUCUUAAGCAAGUGGUGUCACCUUAAAUGGAGAUGUGCCACAUGAUUAGCUAAUGGCCCUUCAAGCUCUAGCAGCUUUUCAUCACUAUUUUGUCCAUAAGAAUUUCUUGAGAAACUGACAAACUAUUGUCAAAGUCAUUGCGCUAUGGCAGAGUGCUCACGCAUUCACUAAUCUAGUGAGAGACAUUCUUUAUACUCCAUGUUGACCCUUAUCAUCACCCUUCCUAAAUGCGAGGCAACCAUUCAUUUGAUUCUCCGCUCCAGAAUGUUGCCCAUGAUCAAAACUAAGUUCAUUGGCCUUCAGUUUAUCCAAUUAAUAUAUGUGUGUAUAUUUACAUUUAGGAUCUCUGCAUCAAUUCUCCAUGAUUCCUCAGAGUACCCUGAGACAUCAGAAAUGCUUGAAGCCCCCUGCCAGGCCUUGUUAGAUCUGCCACCUGGCCCAGUUGUCCUGCAUACAGAGAAGGAGCAAGUCCCUGGGAUCGCCUCCUCCCCUCCUGGCGUGGACAGAGGGCCUAGGGUAUUGGGAGGAGGCUUAGCCAAAGCAGGCACAGCAUUACAAGGAAACAGUUUGAAUGGCUUAGUUUUAGGGGACAGCGGGGUCUUUGUGAGGCUGAAAAAUACCAACUGCUCUCACCACUCGGUGAAGAAAGCUCCGUGGGCCGGGGACAGGGCCCUCUGGUUAUUCAGCCUGCGACUUCACGCAGAAAUUGAGCAUCAGCAGAAUCACCUUCAAAUGAAAUGAUGACCCCUUUCUUUGAGUUACUUCAAUAUCAAAAAUCAGGGCACCUGGUGGCUCAGUGGUUGAGCGUCUGCCUUUGGCUCAGGUCGUGAUCCUAGGGUCCCUCUGCCUAUGUCUCUACCUCUGUCUCCGUGUCUCUCAUGAAUAAAUGAAUAAAAUCUUUUUUAAAAAUUAGAUGACUAUUCUAAGGAAGAAAUACUAAACAUGAACCCGGCACAACCAAUUUAAGUGACAAAGUGAACCAGUCAGAACUCUGGCUGCCUGCUUCUUUACUGCCAGGCCUAGAAUGCAGUUGUUGAUUUACACCUUGUAAAUUUAUCACUACACUAUGCACAACUCCAGCAGUUGUGGAUUGUGUGUGUGCACUCAUUCAGACUAGUGAUAAUAGUGAUGAAGAUACCGACCCUCUUCUAGGAGCCAGACGCUGUUCUGAGCACUGUGCAUGAACUAACCCUUGUAUCCUCACAGCACCCCCGGAGGGAAGGUGCUGUCUUCAUAGACGGUGAGAUGGAGGCACUGAAGAGAGCAGAGGUGACCUGCCUAAGGUCUUGUGUGGGGGCAGAGCUGGGGCUGGGUCAGGCCACUGGGCUCCACACUGGGCUCCACACUGGGCUCUAGAUGCCUCUACACAUAUAUGAGGAAAAGAAAGGAACAGCCGUCGAGUAUCAUUUCUCCCUCAGAUUAUGAAACUGCUUUAUGAACGGUGGUGCCCACUACAACAGGGUCACAAACCAAGGCUUUCAUCCCCUCAAUGGGCUGUGUGGAAAGGGAGGAGCAGGGUAGAAGGGAAGUCAAGGGCACGAACAACAGGUAGCCUGGGAGCAUCAACCUGAGGGAUGCCCCAUGCAUGAGCUGUCAGUGCGUGGUGCGACCCCCGACCUAGCGUGCUGGGACCCCAGAACCAAGACCUGUGACCAUACCCAUUUCAGGACCCUUGCUCUGCAGCCCCUGCUGCUCCUCCAGGAUCAGGAUCAGGAGACCCGUCGCGGUAACCGCUGGCACACCCGCCACCCCCCAAGGCUAGGCCAGUUGACCAGCUCCCAGGAUUGUCUUCCUGUUGCUAGACUACGCUGCUUUCCAGUACAUUAUUUGGAAUAUAAAAACUCAAAUAGCAGAGGAUGUGCCACGCCACACAUUCUUACCUCCCAACAGGCCAAUAACUGCUGAUGUAGACGGGAGGACAACACGGAGGAGGUGCUGUCCCAGAUGGAAAGGGGUGAGCUGACCUCAGGAGAGAUCGUUUUAGGAUGAAGACUCAAUGCUCUUUUAUUUAAAGGAUCAGUCCAGGGACGCCUAGGUGGCUCAGUGGUUGAGCGUCUGCCUUCAGCUUAGGUGGUGAUCCUGGAGUCCUGGCAUCGAGUCCCACAUUAGGCUCCCCACAGGGAGCCUGCUUCUCCCUCUGCCUGUGUCUCUGCCUCUCUCUGUGUGUCUCUC